CCUCACUGUCUUCAAGAUGCAAUUAGUGUUUGCCCAGCAGGGCCACUUUCUCAGGUGAUGCUUGUCUAAUGACAGGUGGGAGGUGUCACUCCCAGGAUGUCCACUCAAUGUAUGGCUCUUCCAGCCAAUGCCGUUUGCUGGGGGAACACUUUUAUCCAUUGCAAUAUUUUCCCUGGAGUAUGUUGCAUAUCUGAGCAGGAGAACAAUUCCCCCCGCUCUACAGUUCUAUACUUUCACCAAAAGGCAACACCGCCCUCCAAAUGAGCAGGACAGCGGGGGCUGGCACAGCUGACCUUGAUCCUUCCAGCUGGUGUCUUAUUGCUGCUUCUAGCCCAGCCUCCUCUCUGUUCUCUCACCUGGCCUCCUUUUUUUUGUGAUCAUUUAUUCCAUUACUUGAAAGAAAACAGCAGGACCUGGAAACUCGAGUCCAGUCGUGCUGCUGGACUCCUGUCCUGCGCUGUGGUCUCUUUUGAUCUCAGUUUCUUUCUCACUCUUACAAAUGUGGCAGCUGAGAAGCCCGAGGAAUCUGAAAUAAAGCAAGGAUUGUACGAGGACACGGGCGUCAGUGUGAGAAGCCAGUGCGUCUCUGUGCACCACUACCUGACCUCACGGUGGCUACCCUUGCCGAAGUCACAACCUCCCACCGCAAUCUGAAGUCUUUAC
This 663-nucleotide long non-coding RNA is filed under the name Marmota monax (woodchuck). The record is from RNAcentral. Lineage: Eukaryota; Metazoa; Chordata; Mammalia; Rodentia; Sciuridae.